RNAcentral lists this long non-coding RNA (1286 nucleotides) under Anas platyrhynchos platyrhynchos (common mallard). Its description in RNAcentral is "lncRNA (ENSAPLG00000021026.1)". Lineage: Eukaryota; Metazoa; Chordata; Aves; Anseriformes; Anatidae. The record is from RNAcentral.
UUUAUACUGGAAGCCAGUGCUGGCUUGCAAAGUGCCUGGAGUGCUGGGAGCUGUGCUGCUACUUGCCUUACAGAUCCUGAUAAUAAAUUACCAGAGAAGGUACAGCUAUUGCUAACCAUAACAGCUUCUGGCACUUAAGUGAGUCACACUCACUUUUCAUCUCCAUUUUCUCUGCCUCCUACAAGCAGUAGUGUUUCUGAAGAAAGUAACUUACUACCAUUAUAUUUCACCAAAAUAAGUAAACAGUAUAAAUAAGAUGAAGUCACUGAAAGUAAAUAGAAACAUAUCUGUGUGAAUUUAUUGGGUAAGACAAGGUUCAGAGAUACUGUGAGAACAAGUCUAGAGAGGAGGUGGGAUGGAAGGCUGGAACUUAGGUGGAAAGACAGAGCCAGAACACCUGGAUGGGGGGGGACAGGAGACACUGGUGGCUGAAAGUUAGACUGGGUAAACGAGAGGCCUCUUGUAUGAAAGAACCAUAGUACAUAGGAAGAAAACAAAGAUACUUUUCCAUUAAGGGCUUAGCCUGAAGGUGGCUGCUUUGUGCUAGCUGCUUUCACGCAGCAAAUGAGCAAACCCAUCUAAUGAUACCACACAAGAUGGGAUUAUUCAGUGUUCAUCUUUCUGAAGGAAGAACUAAAUCAAAUGCUGAUCAGUAUUGCUCAGUGAGGGGACCUCUCUGGAGUCUGAAGUCCUUCCUGGAAUAUGGUCCAACCAUCAGUUAUUGGUUACUUCUGGUGUUGAACUAGGCAGAGGAUUUACUCCUAAAUAAGGAGAAUCCAGUCAUCCCAAUUACUGCUGAAAAAAAAAAAAAAAGAUCAGGCUAAUGGAAUAUAGAAAUACAAAGAAGAUACAAAGUUCUUAAAAAAAAAGAAUGAAAAAAUAGCCUUAGUAUGCUAUCUGUAAUAUUUAACUUGGUUUGCUUUUGAAAAAUGUGGAAAUAACCUCAAAGAAAUGCUAUAAUUGAAGCAAAGGUCAUUUAUAGAAAGAUAUGAUGAUUAUGUGCUGCUAUUGCAGGGUUAUUAAAACAAAAUCUGAGACUGUGUUAUUGUACAUGAAGAUGACAUGAUCAAUAUCUAACCAUAUAUAUCUGUUUUAAGACAACGCUUUGUUUUCUUUAAAUGAUCUCAGCAUUAUCAUAUUGCUGGAGAGUCACUGUGGUUUAUAGUACUUAAAAUUUGCAUCACCUGUGAUUGAGAGGAGAAUUUUAUACCACCUCUGGCAAAAUAUACAUUUUAUAAAAGUGUUUUUCUCAUAGAACCUUCCCAUCUGUGAACUGUAUAAUGCAA